AACCGAGAACUCCUACGGGAGGCAGCAGUGGGGAAUAUUGGACAAUGGGCGAAAGCCUGAUCCAGCCAUGCCGCGUGUGUGAAGAAGGUCUUCGGAUUGUAAAGCACUUUAAGUUGGGAGGAAGGGCAUUAACCUAAUACGUUAGUGUCUUGACGUUACCGACAGAAUAAGCACCGGCUAACUCUGUGCCAGCAGCCGCGGUAAUACAGAGGGUGCAAGCGUUAAUCGGAAUUACUGGGCGUAAAGCGCGCGUAGGUGGUUUGUUAAGUUGAAUGUGAAAUCCCCGGGCUCAACCUGGGAACUGCAUCCAAAACCGGCAAGCUAGAGUAUGGUAGAGGGUAGUGGAAUUUCCUGUGUAGCGGUGAAAUGCGUAGAUAUAGGAAGGAACACCAGUGGCGAAGGCGACUACCUGGACUGGUACUGACACUGAGGUGCGAAAGCGUGGGGAGCAAACAGGAUUAGAUACCCUAGUAGUCCGACUGAGA
Molecule: ribosomal RNA, 485 nt
Filed under: uncultured bacterium
Lineage: Bacteria
Description: bacterial SSU rRNA
Rfam family: Bacterial small subunit ribosomal RNA
Source: RNAcentral